This 73-nucleotide transfer RNA is filed under the name Bos taurus (domestic cattle). It matches the Rfam family "tRNA". From Rfam's summary of the family: Transfer RNA (tRNA) molecules are approximately 80 nucleotides in length. Their secondary structure includes four short double-helical elements and three loops (D, anti-codon, and T loops). The record is from Rfam by way of RNAcentral. RNAcentral also lists the same sequence under 2 other names. Lineage: Eukaryota; Metazoa; Chordata; Mammalia; Artiodactyla; Bovidae.
UCCCUGGUGGUCCAGUGGUUGGAACUCUGUACUCCCAAUGCGAAGGGCAUGGGUUCAAUCCCUAGUCAGGGAA